GACAGGUGAGCUCUGCAGGGGAGGGGGGACAGGUGAGCCCGACAGGUGAGGAGGGAGAACAGGUGAGCUCUGCGGAUGAGAGUGGGAGCGGCCAGGUGAGCUCUACAGGUGAGGGGGGACAGGUGAGCUCUGCGGAUGAGAGUGGGAGCGGCCAGGUGAGCUCUACAGGUGAGCGGGGCAGUGGCCAGGUGAGCCCAACAGGUGAGGGGGGACAGGUGAGCUCUGCUGGUGGGAGCAGCCAGGUGAGCUCUGCAGGUGAGGGGGAACAGGUGAGUCCCACAGGUGAGAGUGGCCAGGUGAGUUCUGCAGGUGAUGGAAGGAGUGACCAGGUGAGCUCUGCAGGUGAGAGCGGCCAGGUGAGCUCUGCAGGUGAUGGAAGGAGUGACCAGGUGAGUCCCACAGGUGAGAGUGGCCAGGUGAGCUCUGCAGGUCAGGAGGGACAGGUGAGCCCAACAGGUGAGAGCAGUCAGGGAUUCCCCACAAGUGGGAGCAGCCAGGUGAGCCCAACAGGUGAGUGGGGGAGUGGCCAGGUGAGCCCCACAGGUGAGGAGGGACAGGUGAGCACCACAGGUGACAGUGAGAGUGGCCAGGUGAGCCCCACAGGUGAGGAGGGACAGGUGAGCCCCACAGGUGACUCCAGGUCCCCCAGGAGUGAGGUGGGGACACCUGGACAGGUUAGGAGAACACCUGGGCAGGUGGGGGAAACACCUGGACAUGGAAUAGGGACACCUGGACAGGUGAGGGGAACAUUUGGAGAUGGGCUGGGAAUACCUGGAAUGAGAUGGAAACACCUGGAGAUGGGGUAGAGACACCUGGACAGGUGAAGGGCACACCUGGGAUGGGCCAAGGACACCUGGACAGGUGAAGGGCACACCUGGGAUGGGCCAAGGACACCUGGACAGGUGAAGGGCACGCCUGGAGAGGUUAAGGACACACCCGGAGAGGGUCCAGUACACCUGGACAGGUGAUGGGCACACCUGGGAUGGGCUGGGAGCACCUGGAGAGGUGAUGGGCAGAGAGCCACACCUGGAGUUGUCUGUGCUCACCUGAGCUCACCUGAGCUCACCUGGGAAUCCCUGUGCUCACCCGGGGUCACUUGAGGUUACCUGGGCACACCUGGUCACACCUGAGCUCUCUUGGACUCACCUGGGUUACCUGUGCUCACCUGGGCACACCUGGGGCUACCUGGGCACACCUGGGCACACCUGAGCUCUCUUGGGCUCACCUGGGUUACCUGUGCUCAGCUGGCAUUACCUGUGCUCACGUGGGCACACCUGGGCACACCUGGGAAUCCCUGUGCUCACCUGGGGUCACUUGAGGUUACCUGUGCUCACCUGGGCACACCUGGGCACACCUGAGCUCACCUGGACUCACCUGUGCACACCUGAGGCUACCUGGGGCUACCUGGGCACACCUGGCAUUACCUGUGCCCAUCUGUGCUCACCUGGGGCUACCUGGGCUCACCUGGGCACACCUGGGGAUCCCUGGGAACACCUGGGGCUACCUGAGCUCACCUGGGCACACCUGGGCACACCUGUGCACACCUGGGGUUACCUGGGCACACCUGGGCACACCUGGGCACCCCUGGCAUUCCCUGUGCACACCUGGGCACACCUGGGCACCCCUGGCAUUCCCUGGGCUCACCUGGGCUCACCUGGGCACACCUGGGGCUACCUGUGCACA
Melospiza melodia melodia is the source of this 1683-nucleotide long non-coding RNA. RefSeq lists it as uncharacterized. Lineage: Eukaryota; Metazoa; Chordata; Aves; Passeriformes; Passerellidae. The record is from RefSeq and is a predicted model, not a curated record. The transcript is spliced from 3 exons.